CAAGUGCUCAUCGCCUAACCAACACUAACCUAGUGUUAUUCAGGCAAGCCCCGGUGCAUUUGCCACCUCCUUGAUGUUUUUAAACCUUUCUCACUUGCUUGAUGCAUUAGGUGAUAGGAGUUGAUUGUUAAAACAAUUCCUGCAUUACCUUCCUUGAAUUUGAUUACCUUCCUUGAUCACCCAUUUUACAAAAGAUUUUUGAUGCUUAGCCUUGCUUUAGAAAAACAAAAUGUUUUGUUUUUUACAAAAUAUGAUGUGGCAAAAGUGGGUGGGAUGUUUUCGAAAAUAAAACUUGAUGGUGGAUCCAUCAGGGCCUUGAUGGAUUCAACAUCUGGAAAAGAUGUACCUCUGCCAGGUACCAAACUUUGGGUUGAAAUGAUUAAGCUGAGACCGGGCGGGUGACUUGCACGAGAAAGAGAGUCUCGGUGUAGUGUCUCCGUCUCAGUCGAUUAAGGACCGUCUCGAUGUAGGCUUACUGACCAAGGACCCUUUAACUAGUCACAUGCCUCGUCAUGGGUAAGCCUUGCCUCGGGCAGACUAAGGCCAGAAUAAGAUAACACGGAAGAGGCUGGACGGUGGCGAGAGUAGCGUGUACCCUCCGUGGCAAGAGGCUGGACGGUGGUGUAUCUGUGCUCUCGGUUCGCGUGGACCUGAUCUGGUCUUAAGAACCCCGGUGGUGGGUUGACAUAUGCAAGGGUUAAGUGCUACAUAUGUCGUGUGAUUGGAGAUCCUCAGAUGAGUAUAAUCGAUUCGGAUCGCCGUACCUUCGCGAUCAUGAAGACUUGGUCACUGCCCUAUACGUAGAACUCAAGUAAAGAUAAAGGGUUGUUAAGAAAUUGGCUAGUGCAGGUCAAGUGCUUGAACUAGGGUAGAACGAACUCUAGAUGCAGGUAACUUUACCUAACCUGACAAUAAAAUUGGAUUUUAAGGAUCCACUUGUAGUAAGCUUUUCUGCAAAACAGAGUCUUUGAUUCUUGAUAAACCAUACCUUGACUCCCUGAUAACCAGCAUGCCCUUGAGAGUCUUUUCCUUAGUCGGGUAAGUCUUGCUGAGUAAUUUCGUACUCAGGGUUUUAUUCCCUGUUGUUUUUCAGGUUCUAACCUUGUGCUGCUGUGAUGGUGUUAAGUGCCGGUGGGCUCGGCCUUCUUAUAAGUCUAAGUAACCCUUCUAUACUUCUUAUUGAGGAUGGUCAUUUGAGCUAGCAUAUAUUUCAAACUUAUACUUUUGUAACCACUCCGAUAAAAUAAUGUAAAAUUUUUG
Molecule: long non-coding RNA, 1260 nt
Filed under: Zea mays
Lineage: Eukaryota; Viridiplantae; Streptophyta; Magnoliopsida; Poales; Poaceae
Description: long non-coding RNA (ZMAY_LNC002904)
Source: RNAcentral